GACGAACGCUGGCGGCGUGCUUAACACAUGCAAGUCGAACGGAAAGGCCCUGCUUUUGUGGGGUGCUCGAGUGGCGAACGGGUGAGUAACACGUGAGUAACCUGCCCUUGACUUUGGGAUAACUUCAGGAAACUGGGGCUAAUACCGGAUAGGAGCUCCUGCUGCAUGGUGGGGGUUGGAAAGUUUCGGCGGUUGGGGAUGGACUCGCAGCUUAUCAGCUUGUUGGUGGGGUAGUUGCUUACCAAGGCUUUGACGGCUAGCCGGCCUGAGAGGGUUGCCGGCCACAUUGGGACUGAGAUACGGCCCAGACUCCUACGGGAGGCAGCAGUGGGGAAUAUUGCACAAUGGGCGGAAGCCUGAUGCAGAGGCGCUGCGUGCGGGAUGCCGUCCUUCGGGUGGUAAACCGCUUUCGCCUGUGACGAAGCGUGAGUGACGGUAAUGGGUAAAGAAGCACCGGCUAACUACGUG
This 468-nucleotide ribosomal RNA is filed under the name uncultured bacterium. Its description in RNAcentral is "partial 16S ribosomal RNA". It matches the Rfam family "Bacterial small subunit ribosomal RNA", at positions 28 to 507 of the family's 1533-position model. The record is from RNAcentral.